GGUUACUCCACCGGCUUCGGGUGUUACAAACUCUCGUGGUGUGACGGGCGGUGUGUACAAGACCCGGGAACGUAUUCACCGUAGCAUGCUGAUCUACGAUUACUAGCGAUUCCAGCUUCAUGUAGUCGAGUUGCAGACUACAAUCCGAACUGAGAACAACUUUAUGGGAUUUGCUUGACCUCGCGGUUUAGCUGCCCUUUGUAUUGUCCAUUGUAGCACGUGUGUAGCCCAAAUCAUAAGGGGCAUGAUGAUUUGACGUCAUCCCCACCUUCCUCCGGUUUGUCACCGGCAGUCAACUUAGAGUGCCCAACUUAAUGAUGGCAACUAAGCUUAAGGGUUGCGCUCGUUGCGGGACUUAACCCAACAUCUCACGACACGAGCUGACGACAACCAUGCACCACCUGUCAC
RNAcentral lists this ribosomal RNA (408 nucleotides) under Staphylococcus warneri. RNAcentral's name for it is "partial 16S ribosomal RNA". Lineage: Bacteria; Bacillati; Bacillota; Bacilli; Caryophanales; Staphylococcaceae. The record is from RNAcentral.